AUGAAGGAUUUGCCCUUCUCCCAUAAACUUUGGGUCCCAGGAGAACCUUGGUUGCUGAAGGCUGGGCUCAGUCCUCUGCCUGGGAGUCUGAGGAAAUGCUCUUCUUACCUAAGAAAUGGAAGAUGGGGCCCAGGAGGCCCUGCUGUUGCUACAUUCCCCUCUACCGUGCAAACUGCCAUCCCUGGCCAGCUCUCCCUUAUUCUUAACCUGAUACAAGUCCUUCAUUUCCAAAUGCUGCCCUUUCUGGAGUGCAUGGUUGGCCUGACAGUGUCACUGACCCCAGGGCUCUCCUUGCCCCUGGAGUACCCACAGGCCUUGGUCCAUGUCUUUAAAUUCAGGAGUCGGGUGGAAAGAAAUUGUGUUCAUGCUGCAUGGGAGGUAGAGAAUGGAGGUGACUUUUUAUCCCUGCCACCCCUCAUUUUGUUUCCUUCUCUGAAGCACCUGCCUCUGAGCUCAGUUCCCCAAAGAGGCAGGCGGGCAGCCAAGCAAGGGCAAAGCUCUGGAGGGGGAGUGGGUAGAGGUAGGGCGGCCCCAGGCUCAAGGACUCCCCGGUUGCCAUUUCCUUCCUACCUUGAUGCUCCACUUUCGCAGGUCACUGGGGAGGCAGGCCCAUGGCACACGAGGGACAGUGGGGAGGGUAAGAGGAAGAAGCACCCUGUAGCCUUUGGCCCACCCACGAGGCAGGGUGGAGGGUUCUUCCUGGAUCCAAGGGUGGAACCUCCCCACGAGACUGGGUCCAUCCCCUUGGACAGGUUAGGAAGGAAGGAAAGCGAGCUGCAACAGCCGUCAUACAGCAGGACACACAGGGGAGGGGGUUUGAGGGGCUUUGAUACGAAACGCACUGGAGGGGAGGGGUCAGAGAAAGAGAAGGAGGGGAAGAGAGAAAAAGCAGAGAGGAGACAAGAUGCACGGAGAAAGGAGGAGCUGAAAGUGGCCUGGACUCCAGCCCCGGCUGUUGUCUGGGGGGUGCGGGGUGGUGAGUCGGUGCUUGCGGCACAUCGUGGGGGUCAUAGCAGGCCUGUGGCUGGGGAAACAGGCUGA
RNAcentral lists this long non-coding RNA (1041 nucleotides) under Piliocolobus tephrosceles (Ugandan red Colobus). RNAcentral's name for it is "lncRNA (ENSPTEG00000035903.1)". The record is from RNAcentral. Lineage: Eukaryota; Metazoa; Chordata; Mammalia; Primates; Cercopithecidae.